GUCUGGGUCAAGAUUACUGGACAAUAGGGGUUUCCCUAUCAAAUACAAACCAGAUGUUUGCAAAAUGUAAAACAUCGCCACCUCCGACCAAAACAACGGCAAGAUGGCUAAAAUAUUAACAUCCUUCAGAAGUAUACUAGUGAUUGAUCUGAUCUGAGUUCAAGACCGGAGAUUUUUAGAUGAAGAAAUCUAAAUUUAAUCAAAAGACGAAAAGACCCUAUCGAGCUUAAAAUUAAAUUUUAAAUUAAUUUAUUUUUAGUAAAAAUAUUUUUAAUUUUUAGUUUUUUGUUGGGGCGACCGAAGAACAUAUAAAGCUUCUUUUUAUUAAUUUAACUAACUAGUUUAUAUAAAUAUUAUUAAUAAAUUAGAAUAAGUUACCGUAGGGAUAACAGCGUUAUUUUUUUGGAAAGUUCAAAUUGAAAAAAAAGAUUGCGACCUCGAUGUUGGAUUAGAAAUCCUUAUAGGUGAAGAGGCUUAUAAAAGGAGGUCUGUUCGACCUUUAAAAUUCUACA
Molecule: ribosomal RNA, 512 nt
Filed under: Lepidochitona cinerea
Lineage: Eukaryota; Metazoa; Mollusca; Polyplacophora; Chitonida; Tonicellidae
Description: partial 16S ribosomal RNA
Rfam family: Archaeal large subunit ribosomal RNA (bases 385-512)
Source: RNAcentral